RNAcentral lists this ribosomal RNA (253 nucleotides) under uncultured bacterium. RNAcentral describes it as "partial 16S ribosomal RNA". It matches the Rfam family "Bacterial small subunit ribosomal RNA", at positions 524 to 776 of the family's 1533-position model. The record is from RNAcentral.
GACGGAGGGUGCAAGCGUUGUUCGGAAUCACUGGGCGUAAAGCGCGUGUAGGCGGUUCGAUUAGUCGAGUGUGAAAGCCCGAGGCUCAACUUCGGAAGCGCAUUCGAAACUGUCGGGCUUGAGUACGGGAGAGGGAAGUGGAAUUCCUGGUGUAGAGGUGAAAUUCGUAGAUAUCAGGAGGAACACCGGUGGCGAAGGCGGCUUCCCGGACCGAUACUGACGCUGAGACGCGAAAGCGUGGGGAGCAAACAGG